This 85-nucleotide transfer RNA is filed under the name Patescibacteria group bacterium. RNAcentral's name for it is "tRNA-Ser". It matches the Rfam family "tRNA". From Rfam's summary of the family: Transfer RNA (tRNA) molecules are approximately 80 nucleotides in length. Their secondary structure includes four short double-helical elements and three loops (D, anti-codon, and T loops). The record is from RNAcentral.
GGAGGGUUCGCAUAGCGGUCUAGUGCGCACGCUUGGAAAGCGUGUGUGGGGCAACUCACCGAGGGUUCGAAUCCCUCACCCUCCG